CCUCCUCCUCCAGGGUGUUGAAACUGUUCACAAAGACCCAAUCAGCUCCCCUGAAAUUCAAAAACUGAUUGACUACUAAGGUAAGUAUAGAUGAGUAUUCUGAUUCCAUGUCGUGCACGAAUGAUGGCAGUUCAUCAGCGUCUAGAGGUGGCAGCCCUGGAACUGAUACAGGAAACUUCUCUAGUGGAAUCUUUAGCUGCUCCUCAUGGAUUUGGUAGUAGACAGAGUUAACAGCACAUGACUGUGUGAAGAAGGAAGCCCCAAUGAGGCCAAGCUUUCUAGCUAUCUCUAGAACCCAAGGCAUGAAUGAGUCAUACACUAGGCAACUCACUGGAUGCCCAGAAGAGAUACCUAGUUCUACAACGAGUUGUGGCAGUUUUGGUGCCACUGUAGCUUGGAAUUGGUUUAGAAGGUCACCUAUGGAACUGCUGCCUGUAUCAGAACUAUCAGAAAUGGUCACCACUUUGACAGAGCCAAGCGAGGCCGGCGUUGAGAGCGUCUGGCUUGAGAAGAUGACCAGUGUUACUUGGAGUCCUUUCGAGGCUAGGCGCUUGGAGAACUGGAUCAUGGGGUUAAUGUGACCUUGAGCAGGAUAAGGUAUGACCACUACAUGACAGAUUCUUUCUUCUUGCUUCUCCAUUUCUCUAAUUAACAACACCAGUCUUUGUGCUUUUCUUUCUCGUGUGGGAGUACUCCUGCCUGCAUAUAUGUAAGCUUUUUACGUCCAAUUGUGUGGUCCGAAAGAACCAGUCUUUUACGUGAGAGAAGGGAGUACAAUUUUCCUAUAAAGCAUCUUUUGAAAUCCUCUAAAUUAAAUUUAAUUUAAAAUUUUUAAUAAAAUCUCAUGUUUUGAACCAUUUUAAGUAUUAAUAAUUAAAUUCUAAAUAGAAUUUAAUUUUUAGAAAUGAUAUAAAAAAUAUAUAGAUGCCAACUCUUUUGAUUUACAAUUCUAAAAUAUAAAAUUUAAAUUUAAAACUAACCUUCUCAAAACAUCUAUUUAUUAUUUUUUAGAAAUAUUUAAAUAAAUAAAAUAAAAUAAUAAAAAUAAUAUAAAAAAUAAAAUAAAUUGAAUUCGAUUUUUUUUAAAUACAACAAUUUUCUUACGUAUUGGCUUACGAAUGCAAUUGGAAGGGAAGGUAGAUGGCUUCUACCCUAAACUUCAACUACCAGUCAUGUUUUUAUGGAUUGAUUGAUGACAAUAUUGAUUCAAUAUCUGAAAUCAAAUAACAUGUAAUGUGUUAGGGUUUAAUGCUAGUAAAAAAUGUUGAAUUAAACUCAAUCUAGAUGAUCAAGAAAGGCAACCACCGCCCAGCUAGCCACCAGCUGUCACCAGCCAGCCACCAACUGUCACUGACCACCGCCUAGCCGCAUGCCGCCAGUCGCCUUCACACCUAAAAAUUUAAAUUUUCUUGUUUUGAAUUUGUGUAUAAACAGGCAGCUAAGCUUAUGUUAUUUUGUGUGGAGAGUUUAGAGAGAAACACUAGAUAUAGAGAGAGAGGGCGUGUAUUAAGCUUUAUGUUGUUGUAAGCUUGUGUUCUUGAAAUAAAACUUUGUGUUUUAUCCCCUCUGAGUAUUUCAAAACCACCACCAGUUGUUUCUCCCACCAACAAUUGGUAUUAGAGCCCCGUUCGUCAGAAAACAGAAGAGUUGUGGGGUAUACCCGAAUUUUCAAAGUUGUCAAAAACAAGUUUUGAUCAUUCCACAGUGUAGAGCUCAUCCAUACGAACUCACUAGUGCAAGAAUCAGCCUCAUCGAAACCCGCGGUGAGCCACACGCGCCGCCUGAAGAUCCGGUGACUGUCGCCCACGAGCAGCCAUGCGCGCUAGAGGUUAAAGACGAGUGCCGUCCAUGUGCGCCAUAUUCAAGCCGUUUAAGCCGUCUAAGUCGAGACGUCAUCCAACUACGCCGAGCCGUCCUCCGAGCCGAGUCGCGCCGUACGCCGCGCUGAGCCGUUUUUCCAGCUGCGCCGAGCCGAGCCGUUUUUCCAGCCGCAGCCAAGCCUGCUGAAUAUUCCCGGUUCAACUUCAGCGAACCGCCUAACGUACAGAAUCGGUUUUUUGACCGGUUCACCUAAUUUUUGACCCGAUUUCAACAAAGUCAGACCGGUUCCCUACUAUUUGGACCAUUCCGGAUUGAUCUACAAUGUUCGUUUGGUCAAAUUCGGCUCCCAGAAGGUGAUAUAUUCAUUCAAAGAGAAAAAUGACUACAAAAAAUACACAAACACUCAUCUCAAAGCUGACCAAAAACAACUAUGAUAGUUGGUGCAUCAAAUUAAAGGCAUGUCUUGGUUCACAAGAGUGUUUAGAUAGAGAGAGAGGGCGUGUAUUAAGCUUUGUGUUGUCGUAAGCUUGUGUUCUUGAAAUAAAACUUUGUGUUUUAUCCUUUCUGAGUAUUUCAAAGCCACCACCAGUUGUUUCUCCCAUAAAAAAAAAAAAAACACAGUGCUGUCAAUUUCAUCAUUUCCAUGGUUUCCGUGAAACCUGCUGCUCCAGGCUUAUUGGAGUGGCUGGAAGCUAACAAAUACUUUUCAAUUACUUUUCAAAAUAUUUUUUUAAAUAAAUUUACAUGAAAGUGGGCUUCUGCUCAUGCAGUGGGGUUGGAUUCAAAGCAUCUGCAUGCACAAGAUUUAGUUAUAGCUCCAAUACAUACAGAUUGUUGUAUAAACCUACCAAGACUCAUUUGUCGUUUCCUUGCUAAAGAAGGCUUUCUGUGUUGGAACUACUGCCCCAUGCCCUCUCCUUCCAUAUCUGCUCAACUUCAACAAAUGCCAGCCCCAUGGUCUCAGGGACAUACAUAAUCACAAACACAACUGCGAGCACUGCUAUGCCCGCGAGCAUCAGGAAAGUCGAACCUGUUCCUACUGCUUCGGCAAUUGAAAGGAAAGUUUGGGCUACUAUCAGAUUGGAGAUCCAGUUAACAGUAGCUGACAUGCCCCCGCAUAUUCCUCGAUAUUGUUCGGGAUAUAUCUCCGAGUUCACAGUCCAUGGAACAGGUCCCAUUCCUGGUGAGAAGGAAGCAAUAUACAGGGCUAACUGAUGGGAACCGUGGGAUAAAGAAAGUUGCAGCCAAAUCAAGAACUGCAGGAAGAUGGAGAGAUGCAACCAGCCAUCAUUAAUGAAGAUUUCAGAGACUUUGAAUCUGAUCUUUAAAGCCUGCUGAAUUUAAUAAAGUUAAUCUGGUCAUAGACCGAAUCUAGACAUUUUUCUUUAUUCAUGCAUUUUAAUGUUAUCUGGAGUUUUAUUGGCUUGUUACUAUAUUUAGUUGGCUGUAAUCACAAAAGAGAGGGACAUUGAUUUUACAAAAGUUAUUCAGUUUAAAAUUCCUGUUAAGUGUUGAAGCUACUCUUCGUCUUGUUGAACGAUAUCAACAAUCUUCGUCUUCGUGAACGAAAUCACGAUCCAGCUCACAAACGAGAUUUAUAUUUUCACAUUAAUAAUCGAUAAAUCGAUCCAUGCUCACAAAUAAUUAUAUUUUCACAUUGAUUCGAUGUAAAAUUUAUAUUUUACAUUUUUUUUUUUGCUUACGUUAGCAAUUUGAUGUUUUUUUUGGAUUCGAGGAAAUCUCAUCCCCGAAAAGCGUAUUUUAUGGAUCUAGGUAAGCGAGUAAAACCCGAGUUGUCCUAGGCUCUUAUAAAAGGUGCACGCCCUGACUCGAACUCGAGACCUGUUAUGCAAAUCUCAAGUUCUUUGUCAUCACACCUCGCCCCUUCGAGACAUUAGACAUUAGAUAUUAGCAAUGUGAUGUUCCUAACAAAUAAUUUGCUAAGAUAUCAAAAUCUUCAAAAAUAAAAAAAUUUCCCAAUAUUGUAAGUGCAUGAUUGAAGACAAAAUUCAUCAAGGUUAUAUUAUGGGUGCACGUAUCUACCCUGCCACGAUGAUAAUGCCUUUUACGCCUAAUAAUCUUGUGGGAAAAUUGAUCGACAUCAUACUAUUCAACAACAAAAUGUUGUUUUUCAUGUUUCAGCUUCUCAGCCGUUCGAAUGAAAUUUGAAGCCAAGCCUAGUCUGAGAGGGUCACCAUAUCCAUGUUAAAUGCGCUUAACUGCAAUCAAGUCUAUGAAUAAUAAAUUUGAUAGUUCAUUGGAUCCAUGAUUAAUAAGGCUCGACCCAUAACGAAGUUCAAGGUAUUAAGUUUAGUAUCUUGUUGGAUUCAUAUAUAUAUAUAUAUUUUUAUUAAUGUAAGUGUUUGGGUCAACUUGCACACAUCUUGACUAAUCCCAUAAGCCCUUAAGCUAACGAUUAUUUAAGUUUUUAGCGGUUAUAAAAUUUGUGGACUUGAACUGAUAAUUUUAAAAAAAUAAAUUUAAAAAAUAAUUUUUAAAAAAUAAAUUUAAAAUCUAAUUAAUUAAAUUAUAUUUUAUUUAUUUAGACUUGAUAUAAUACCAAAUCGAUAAGGGAUAUAUUUAACAACUCAACCGACUCAUCUCCACUUAAAUUUAACAACUCGUCAAAAUAAUAUAUUUGUUUUGACUCAAUAAGUAGGUGAAGCAAAAAAUGAAUGGAUUCGGCACCCUUGAAAUUUGAACGUUGUUGAAUUUCCAUCCAAUUCCUCCUCACCACAAAAUUGUGGUCGAAUUUGCACAUGUUGACUUGGUUUUCAAUUUUUUUGACUUGUUUUUUGCAUCAUUGUCCAAUCUAGAAUGCUCGUUUGGGAAUGUGUGUAGGCUUGUGACUUGUCUUUCUAAAUCAUAAUCAAUAAUUGAUAGAACAAUCUCACGCGUGUUAAUAAAAAUCUUAUGUGUAAUAUAUCAAAGUGUGAACCUUAACCGUCCAUUUUUGUUUAUAAUUGAUUUUUUUUCUAAAAAAUAAUAAAAAGAAAAGAGAUUGAAAUGGAGUAACAUGAUAUUAUUUCUUUCAUCAUGAAAACAUGAUUUGAAUCUUGUAUUGUGUAGUUCAUAUGACAACUAUCAUCGAAUCCUAUAAAAUAACCGAGGAAAAAUACAUCGAUGGGGAAGAAGCAUUUUUCCAAGUUUUAAGGCCUUGCAUGUCGGUGUAGGCUUUCACGCUUUUGAAUCUGUGGUUUCAUUGAACUUGCUAGCAAGUUUCGCUGCAAAUUCCGUAAUAUUAUUAUCAGAGCUUCCACCUUCACCCAUGGCUGCUUUGGCUAGUUUCUUCCAUUUCUCAGAAUUCCUUCUCAUCUCACUCCCUCUUUCACCUUCCAUGACUUCCCUUGUACACUUUUCUAACUCUUCUUUAGUGACAAUCCCCUUUUCAUUUGCCUUCACUCUAACUCCUACACGCCAAACAUCUGCUAUGUACUUCGCAUUUGUUGGUUGAUCAGUCCACUGUGGCACCGCCACCAUUGGCACUCCUAAGCUCAACGCUUCAAGCGUCGAGUUCCACCACAAUGAGUCAUGAAGCAACCAACAGACUUGUGAGCCAGAACCUCUAGCUGAGGGCUCCAGGUCACAAUCAGACCCUUCUCUGAGGACCUCUCCACAAAGUUACAUGGAAGUUUUUUCUCUUCCGAUUCUCUGACUACCCACAAGAAGUUGCAGUCGCUUCUCCUUAGGCCCCAAGCUAUUUCUGCCAUUUGCUCUUCUCCAAGAGCAGCCAAGGUUCCAAAUGACACGUAAACCACGGAGCCAGUUUCCUUUGAGUCUAGCCAUUCCAUGCAACCGUCGAGAGCAGGUUUGAAGAGGCUGAGGCCAUACCCUGUGUCAUCCUCUAGCUGCCUGUCCAAGUAAACUGAUGGAAUCAUGGGUCCUAUUGGCUUGAUUGACCUCUUGCUUGCCAGCCAGUUUACCACCUGAUACAAAUGAGCAAAAUCUUGAGUGCCAUAGAAUUUAAGGCAGCGUACUUUGCAAAUAUGGUAAUAUCUAUUAGUAUGAUCAGAGAAAAAAGAGUUCAAUAAGGAAUUCGAAGUAGUGCUGCUUUUCUUUAUGUAACUUCUUCAGGGUUACCUCCUCCUCCAGGGUGUUGAAACUGUUCACAAAGACCCAAUCAGCUCCCCUGAAAUUCAAAAACUGAUUGACUACUACGGUAAGUAUAGAUGAGUAUUCUGAUUCCAUGUCGUGCACGAAUGAUGGCAGUUCAUCAGCGUCUAGAGGUGGCAGCCCUGGAACUGAUACAGGAAACUUCUCUAGUGGAAUCUUUAGCUGCUCCUCAUGGAUUUGGUAGUAGACAGAGUUAACAGCACAUGACUGUGUGAAGAAGGAAGCUCCAAUGAGGCCAAGCUGUCUAGCUAUCUCUAGAACCCAAGGCAUGAAUGAGUCAUACACUAGGCAACUUACUGGAUGUCCAGAAGAGAUACCUAGCUCUACAACGAGUUGUGAAAGUUUUUGUGUCACUUUAGCUUGGAAUUGCUUUAGAAGGUCAGCUAUGGAACUGCUGCCUGCAUCAUAACAAUCAGAAACGGUCACCACUUUGACAGAGCCAAGCGAGGCCGGCGUCGAGAGCGUCUGGCUUGAGAAGAUGACCAGAGUUACUUGGAGUCCUUUGGAGGCCAGGCGCUUGGAGAACUGGAUCAUGGGGUUAAUGUGACCUUGAACAGGAUAAGGUAUGACCACUACAUGACAGAUUCUUUCUUCUUGCUUCUCCAUUUCUCUAAUUAACAAAACCAGUCUUUGUGCUUUUCUUUCUCGUGUAGGAGUACUCCUGCCUGCAUAUAUGUAAGCUUUUUACGUCCAAUUGUGUGGUCCGAACUGACGUGUUGAUCUUAAUGUUGUAUUUCCUAGAUUUUUUAUUUAUUUUUUUGAAUUUCACUUACGUGAGAGAAAGGAGUACAAUUUUCGUUAUAAAGAUGUUUGAAAUCCUUUAAGUUAAAUUUAAUUUAGAAUUUUUAAUAA
RNAcentral lists this long non-coding RNA (6786 nucleotides) under Populus tremula. RNAcentral's name for it is "long non-coding RNA (PTRE_LNC001431)". The record is from RNAcentral. Lineage: Eukaryota; Viridiplantae; Streptophyta; Magnoliopsida; Malpighiales; Salicaceae.